GAGCCACCACAUUGCCGAGCCGCCGCAUAUAGCGAUCAUGCGGCCUGUGGUAAAGAGUAAAGCCUGAGUUAGAUUACCCCUCCCAUCGAGCACGUUAGUUUCCUGCUUACCGCGUAAACAACCCGCUCAAUAAUAUGUUAGCCAAUCAGCUUGCCUUGCUUACUUUGAUAUGAUUGGACACUGUAUCCGUAUAUAUACUGGUGCCACCCCUGGGGGGAAGUAGAAGCCCGGAAGGAGCCGCGGAGAGCGGACCGGUAGAGGCUUCGGAGCGAAGCCCGGAAGGAGCCGCGGAGAGCGGACCGGUAGAGGCUUCGGAGCGAAGCCCGGAAGGAGCCGCGGAGAGCGGACCGGUAGAGGCUUCGGAGCGAAGCACGGAAGGAGCCGCGGGGAGCGGACCAGAGGAGGCUUCGGCUGGGAGCGAUCCCAGGGCAGGCUGUACGGAGAGAAAAUAAAAGAAAAGGUUGUCCACUGCCAGACUUUGUCGUGUGUCCUUCCUGCCGGCCGGGAGCGACAUCGACAUUUGGUGGCCCGCACGGGGAACAACUGAUCACCCCCGAGACGUGGUAGUGGACAACGUUCCUUGAUACAGCACUGCGAGACAGGAAUCGAGACGAGAACCACUGUGGGUACCGGAGAGACUGACACGGGCGACAAAGCCCUCGACUGAAGAUCAGACCUGCCCUACCGGAGAUCCAUCACAGACCAACCAACAAGAUGAAUAGAAAUAGCGGUAGCCCGAAAUGGACAAGAAGAUCCUCAGGCAUAUGCAUGGCUCGCUCGCCUAGCCUACGACCGAGUCUAGGGACGGUGAGCUUCCCACACUCCUCCUCUAAAAAAUUAUGAUAUAGCAGGGUAGAUGAGUCAAUGACGGGUAAGAGCAUGCCUCCCCAGCAUGACUCAACCUAAGACAGGCCCUACCCCAUACCGCACGAAAGCCGCUGAAUUACUAGGUUCCGCCCAAACCAAAUGUCGCCCCGGGGGGAUCAUGCGGAGCGACAUGAGUGUAUGCCUGUGUGCAUCCAGGUUCCGUCCGGUUCCUUCCUGGCCCUGGAAAAAGGACGAGGGCCUCGGGGCCUCGGCAGACUCGGGGACGGCCGACCCGGGCCGACGCCGAGAGCCCUUGGUGGGCCUCCUAUCAGGGCAUAGGCCUCUACACUCAAUUCAGGACGGGCUGCGAUGCGUAGACUUAUUUAAAAUAAAAAAGGGGGAGAUGUUGGGAGCCACCACAUUGCCGAGCCGCCGCAUAUAGCGAUCAUGCGGCCUGUGGUAAAGAGUAAAGCCUGAGUUAGAUUACCCCUCCCAUCGAGCACGUUAGUUUCCUGCUUACCGCGUAAACAACCCGCUCAAUAAUAUGUUAGCCAAUCAGCUUGCCUUGCUUACUUUGAUAUGAUUGGACACUGUAUCCGUAUAUAUACUGGUGCCACCCCUGGGGGGAAGUAGAAGCCCGGAAGGAGCCGCGGAGAGCGGACCGGUAGAGGCUUCGGAGCGAAGCCCGGAAGGAGCCGCGGAGAGCGGACCGGUAGAGGCUUCGGAGUGAAGCCCGGAAGGAGCCGCAGAGAGCGGACCGGUAGAGGCUUCGGAGCGAAGCACGGAAGGAGCCGCGGGGAGCGGACCAGAGGAGGCUUCGGCUGGGAGCGAUCCCAGGGCAGGCUGUACGGAGAGAAAAUAAAAGAAAAGGUUGUCCACUGCCA
Molecule: long non-coding RNA, 1691 nt
Organism: Cavia porcellus (domestic guinea pig)
Lineage: Eukaryota; Metazoa; Chordata; Mammalia; Rodentia; Caviidae
Exons: 2
Source: RefSeq, a predicted model, not a curated record